RNAcentral lists this ribosomal RNA (425 nucleotides) under uncultured bacterium. RNAcentral describes it as "bacterial SSU rRNA". It matches the Rfam family "Bacterial small subunit ribosomal RNA", at positions 917 to 1341 of the family's 1533-position model. The record is from RNAcentral.
GGGCCCGCACAAGCGGUGGAGCAUGUGGUUUAAUUCGAUGCAACGCGAAGAACCUUACCUACUCUUGACAUCCUUGGGAGCUUUUGGAGACAGAAGUGUGCCUUCGGGAACCAAGUGACAGGUGCUGCAUGGCUGUCGUCAGCUCGUGUCGUGAGAUGUUGGGUUAAGUCCCGUAACGAGCGCAACCCUUAUUCCUAGUUGCCAGCGAGUAAUGUCGGGGACUCUAGGAAGACUGCCGGUGACAAGCCGGAGGAAGGCGGGGACGACGUCAAGUCAUCAUGGCCCUUACGAGUAGGGCUACACACGUGCUACAAUGGUCGGUACAGAGGGUUGCGAAGCGGUGACGUGGAGCUAAUCUCAGAAAGCCGGUCGUAGUCCGGAUUGCAGUCUGCAACUCGACUGCAUGAAGCUGGAAUCGCUAGUAA